This 316-nucleotide unclassified non-coding RNA is filed under the name uncultured Tomentella. RNAcentral's name for it is "sequence contains 5.8S rRNA gene". The record is from RNAcentral. Lineage: Eukaryota; Fungi; Basidiomycota; Agaricomycetes; Thelephorales; Thelephoraceae.
GAACGCACCUUGCGCCCUUUGGCCAUUCCGAAGGGCAUGCCUGUUUGAGUAUCAUGAACACCUCAACUCUCAUGGCUCGCCAUGAUGAGCUUGGACUUUGGGGGUCUUGCUGGCCUGUGGUCGGCUCCUCUCAAAUGGAUCAGCUUGCCAGUGUUUGGUGGCAUCACAGGUGUGAUAACUAUCUGCGCUUGUGGUUUUCCAUCAGAUAACCUUCAGUGAUGGAGGUUCGCUGGAGCUCACAGAUGUCUCUCCUCGGUGAGGACAGCUUUUUGAACGUUUGAUCUCAAAUCAGGUAGGACUACCCGCUGAACUUAAG